This is a non-coding RNA of Lupinus angustifolius (narrow-leaved blue lupine), 119 nucleotides long. NCBI's taxonomy places the organism in Eukaryota, Viridiplantae, Streptophyta, Magnoliopsida, Fabales, Fabaceae. The record is from Rfam.
AGAAGCAAUCAUAUCAACACUAAUGCACCAGAUGCCAUCGUUACUCUCUAGUUAAGCGUGCUUUGACGAGAGUAGUACAAAGAUGGGUGACCUCCUAGGAUAUCCCCGUGUUGCACCUC